GGCUUGCUGGUGUAGUGGUAUGAUUCUCGCUUUGGGUGCAAGAGGUCAUGGGUUCGAUUCCCGUGCAAGCCC
RNAcentral lists this transfer RNA (72 nucleotides) under Dendronephthya gigantea. Its description in RNAcentral is "tRNA-Pro". It matches the Rfam family "tRNA". Rfam says of the family: Transfer RNA (tRNA) molecules are approximately 80 nucleotides in length. Their secondary structure includes four short double-helical elements and three loops (D, anti-codon, and T loops). Lineage: Eukaryota; Metazoa; Cnidaria; Anthozoa; Malacalcyonacea; Nephtheidae. The record is from RNAcentral.